GGUGGAGGCAGAGGGAGGGCUCCAGCCGCCAGCCCGGGAGGUACGGAAGUUCGCCGCCGCCGUUCAUUGGCGGCGGGCGAGGCUUUCAUCAUUUCUCGGAAAAGUCAAUUUCAUUUUCACUUCCCCACGUCGCGGCCGCCGCGGGGAGCAACAAGCGGCAGCGCGUGGAGUGUGUGGCUCGCGCCGAGGGGCGCGCGCUUUUUCCGCCGCGGCCACUCUGGGAGUGUGGGCUCCAGAAGGAGCGGGCCGGGCCGCUGGCUUGCGAGCUGGCCACCAACAGCUGGUGGCCCUAGGGAAGGAAGGAGAUCCCUGACUCUGCGUCCUACCUGAAGGUGGAAACCAACCAGAGAGAGGGAGCGAGAAAGCCUGGGAAGCCCGAGGACCCUUCCUGACCUGUGGGUUAAGUGUUCAGAACCGCUGUGCUCAGGCUGCACAGACAAAGUCGUCUUGGAAAAUCGCCCGCUGCAAAGGAAUGUCAGGAACGACAUCAGCUGAAAAGAAGGCAGUACUUGCGCCCCAUACUUUAUUGGAUCUCCUACUGGGGGACAGGGUUGGUGAAAGGGGUUGAAGGGCCAGCCUGGCACUCUGUGUGGAAACUAGGAUGGUUAGGAAGGCCUUCCUCUAGUAAGUCACUCUCCAAAGUUACUCAUGCCUUGCCAAAAUGAGACAGGCAAGGGUGUGAGUUACUUGAACUUAAAAUGUCUUGAUUGGGACUGGUCCUGGAGGGAAGGCUGCAUAUUAACUCCUAGCCGAGUUCAAAUUUAGCAUCCCUCCUAGUUGGACAUCCCUGGCCGCUGUCCUCUGUGCUGUUCGUGGAGGCUCUACAGAAGGCGAGAAGAGGGCCCAGGACCCAUGACAGGUGCAUCGCUGAUGCCUAUUGGCUCCGCUAGGCCACCGCACUUGGAACCUCCUGCUCCUUGGUCACAUCACUUUGAAAGUAUUCCCUUACAUUUAGUUACACCUGCUUCUUGCCUGGCUUACAGUUUCCUCAGCCUGCCACCUGCCUUCUCUAGCCACUGGGGAAAGGCCCACCCUAGGAGACUGUCACUACCUAUGAGUAAACUUCUGAAAAUUAAUUCUACCUCCUCUUUGUCACAGAGUUACUGGAUUCCACAGACAGGGACAAGGGAAAGCAUCCAAGCACCUGUGGAAGGAUGACAGUGAGAUUAAGGACCCUGUUUUAUGGUCUCAAAAUAGUUUCCUCGUCCACACAGUGUCCUUUAUCCCUCCCAUAAUAACACUGGACAAUCCUUGCAUUUAUAUUUCAUAUAUCACAAGAUAUAUGUAACCACAAGAAUGUACAAACUGCAUGGUAGUUGGCUGUCUUUGCCUACCAGGCACCUAUGUUAAAAGCCUAAUAAUCAUAGGUCAGUUUUUUUUUUUUUCUGGCUUUUUGUGUGUAGGGGUGAGUGUGGUGCAUGUGUGCACGUGUGUGCUCACUGAGGCCAGAGUGUUCUGCUCAGCCGUUCUCCGCGUUAUUGAUUUGAGACAGGGUUUCUCACUGAACCUAGAACUAGGCUGGCAGCCAGCUGCUCCAGCAAUUCUCAUGUCUCUGCCAACCACAGCCCUGGAAUGAGGUGGGCACAGAGCCAAACCUGGCUUUUCAAGUGUAUUAGGGAUUUGAACUCAACUCCCCAUCGCUGGAUUAGCAAGCACCCUUCCCCCAUCUCUGCAGGCCCCCGUUGUUGUUAUUGUUGUUGUUGUUUUCUUUGCUGUUGCUAUUUUUAUUUUUUGCUUGUUUGUUUGUCUGUUUUUAGACAGGGUCAUCUUAUAGAGUCUUGACGAGCCAGAACUGUUUUCCAUUGUUAGUCUGGGAACUAACAAUGUUCCUGCCGUAGCUCUCGAAUCCUGGAAUUAUGGGUCUGUGUUAUCGCUAUCUGUUUAUUUUAAUCUGUGCCCAAACCAUUGUCUUCUCUUCCCCAGAACAGGGAGAGGAAAGGCAUACAUGAAUAGUUCCUCCAGUCCCCAUCAACAUGGCUUCUUUCUGAACCUUUUAUCUCCAUUCAGCAGACCCAAGGAACGGAAGAAACAAUGAGGUCUGGUGAGGCCAACCGAUGUCUCUUUCCUGGUCUCUAUGAUAGGAGCUUCCUCACAGGUGAAAACUCAGGGGAGCCAGAGAGGACCGUGCCCACAAAUCUCUACCCUGCACCCUAAUGCACAGAGGCUAGUCCUGGAAAGCCCGUUGCCAGGUACAGAAAGCAUCCUGUCUCCGUGAUGAGUGGCCUCUCAUUUGUGCCUUCCCUAGACUCUCCAUCAGGAAAUCAUCCUGCCUGCUCUAAGUGCAAGCCAAUCUCACUGUUUCAGAAAAAGCAAUGCCCUACUUAUGUGUGGCCUUUAGUCAGCAACAAAAAGUUUCUUGGACUGUUUAGUUUUUUGUUUUUGUUUUUGUUUUUUUUUUUUUUUUAGUUGUUCCUGAUACCUUCCUUCCCACAGCAUCUAUCAAUCCAUCCAUCCAUCCAGUCCUAUCAGAACACAUCCAGUUACAAUCACUCAUGUCCUAGUUAAGGGUCUGUGCAACACCCCAGUGUCUCUGGAUGAGACCGAUCAUUGCAACUCCUUGGGUUCCUCCACACCAAUAGACACAUGGUUAUCCAAAUUAAGCAGAAAUUGACUUCACUUAAAGCCCAACUCUUGUCCUUUUGCCCCUCAGAAACCCACCAUUCUGGAGCUUACAGAAUAAAGGCCAUAUUAGUUAUAAGAUGUAAAAUCAGUUUACUGUGGUGGCAGACUACUGCCCGGCUUCCCUUGCUCCCAGUGCAGGUGCCCGUGUGCCCUUGUAAGCCAACAGUCUUUAUUUACAGAACAUCAGAGUCAUUCUCACAUUCCUUAUUUGUCAUUAGCCUGGGGACCCAGCACACAGAGGGUCAGAUAUUUUUGAAUCCAUUAUUCCUUGCUCUUUUCUCUGAGUUCAUAGAGAGUAGUCUAGAAUUUGUUUUAUACUUCAAUAGCAUUUUUAAAAGGUACGUUUAGGGGCUGGAGAGAUGGUUCAGUGGUUAAGAGCACAGCUCCUCUUCCAGAGGUCCUGAGUUCAAUUCCCAGCACCCACAUGGUGACACACAACCAUCUAUAAUGGGAUCUGAUGCCCUCUGCUGGUGUGUCUGAAGACAGCUACAGUGUACUCACAUAUAUAAAAAUAAAUCUUUUUUUUAAAAAAAGUAAAAGAUUGUUUUUUUUUAUUUUGUGUGCAUGAGUGUUUCGCCUGUAGGCAUGCGCACUCUGUGUGCUGGAGCCCACAGAGGUCAGCAGAGGACAGCAGAUCUGGAACUGGCCUGUGGAUGGUUGAGUUUCCAUUUGGGUACUGGAACCUGAACCUGGGUCCUCUGCAAGAGUUGUAAGUCCUCUUAACUGUUGACCCAUCUCGCCAGACCCCUUUAAUAACAUUCUAAGACAAAUGUAACAUUAUAUGGAAGCCAGAAAACAGAGAAGUUGAAAGAAAAUAAGAGUUGCUGAGCGUGGCAGCACAUGUCUGCAGUCCCAGCAUUUGGGAGGCUGAGGGAGGCUGACCCCGAGUUCAAGGCAAGCCUGGGCUAUAUAGGGAAGCCUUUUUUAAAAAGAAACAAGGUUGAAGAUGUAGCUCAACUGUUAGUAUUUCCUUAAUGUAAGCAAAGACUGGAAUCUGGCUUCUACCAUGUACAUAAAUGUACACACACACACACACACACACACACACACAGAGAGAGACAGAGGUGGAGUCCCACAAUUUUAUUCUCAGAAAUAGACCUAUCAAUAUUUGUAUGUGCUUCCCGUUAGUAAUCUUUCGAAUGUGUAAUUUCCCAUCCUCAUCUGUUCAUCUUUCCUGGUGCAGCCUGCACUUCCCAUCCCCCACUGGGCUUCUGUGAUAUCUUUCUGUCCCGUUCCACUUCUUGGCUGGCUCUUCCUUUGCUGCCAGCCUCCUAAAUUAUGGUGUUCCCAGGCGUUCUAUCUUCAACCCUCUUAUUUUCUCAUUUUAUAUGUUUUUCCUCUUUGGACGCUCUCGUCCACGCCCAGAGCCUGAGAUAUCACUACAGAUGGUCCUGAACUUAACAAUCAUUUACUUAACAAUUUUCCAAUUAUGCGGUGGUACAAAAGCAACAAGGACUCAGUAGAAAGCAGACUGCAAAUCCUGGGCGAGCACUAGGUGGUAUAUGAUACUUUGUUGCCAUGUUGGGCAAUGGCAGACCUUCUCAUCUCCCAGUCAACCACAAGGUCACCAGGUGAAACAGCCCACACCCGGUAAUGUCUCAGUUGCUACACUGUAACAUUCUCUAAGCUAGGUAUAUCAAUAGCGUUUUGGGAUACAGUGCUUCCACUGAUAAUGUGUUUAUGGGGGGGGGUCAAGCACCUUACAGGUUGAGAAGCAUCCAUAUUCGGUGAUGAUUUCAAAAUAAACUCUGACACAUAUUACUGACACAUAUUACUGACACAUAUUACUUCCUAGACGUCAGUGAGAUUCGUAUAUAUUCCCAAUUCAGGUCAAUACUCACACUAAGAAAACACAGAGGGUCUCAAGCCCAGGCUGCCUUGAAGGCAGGAUCCUCCUCCCUUGGCAGCACAAGUUCUGGUAUUACACUCUAAAACUAAACUCAAAACAUCUUUCCCUACAAACUCAUAUUUGUCAUUUCAUCGGGAGCCAGGAAUCUGGGGAACAUCACAGCACCAACACACACACACACACACACAUACACACACCUUGUUUGAGCCCCCUGGGGCUCCCCUAGACAUAGGUACUAUUUGCAAUUUUCCAGACCCUUGAGCUCAUAAAACCUAGAAUGAAUAGCACUGUGUACUUAUACCCUUGAUGAAAUGUCACUGUAGAUCAGAGAUAUAAAUAUGACUCAGAACAUCCACAUGGUUCUGAUACACAGUCACAAAAUAUUCCUUGGCUCUUUGAUGAUACACACACACACACACACACACACACACACACAUCUCUGUGGAAAAUUAAUCAAUAUAGAAAAAUACAAUCUUUUUGGUAGCCUAUGCUUUUAUAAACCACCAUUUGCUUUAUAGUAAAAUUAGAAUAUAUUCUUAGGUAUUGCAUUUUUCAUCUUAUCUGCAGCCUGGGCAUCAUACAGAAUCUCCCGGGGUGGGUUCAUCGUGAUCUCUUCAGAGAAUUAAGAAGAUAGGUAUUUAAACAGAGUGUGGGUAGAUAUUUCUCUAUCUUGGCAAAUGGGAAAAACUGAAGACACACUCAGAGUGAGCCCCCUUUUAAAAUGGACAUCUAAUUUAUCUUACUGAUAAAUGAGAUACUUUUAAUAAAAUCAUCACCUAAUUAGCAAAUACUUGCUGGGUGUCCAGAAAAUGCUUCUUAGCACCAGCUAUAUAGCAAUGUACCAAAGGAAUCAAAAGCGCAGUCAUCUGAGACAUUUUUUUUUACAGUCUAGUCAAUUACCAUGUCGAUUUCCAAUAUAGCAUCCCUGGAAAGGCAGGGACAUGGCCUCUAGCUAUAAUCACAGCUCUUAGAAUUGCGCAUCACAGUUCUAAGAAGGUGCACUGUAUAUCUUAUUAACUCCAGUCUAAGUACACUUGAGAUGGAGCCAGAGACCCUUGCCAGACUGCCAGCUCAUGGUCCAGUUCUGCCCACAGAGUCACUGGGAGCACUUCUGGGCUAGGCACUGGGGCACUCCUCCAUGAUCCUAAAAUUCAGGCAGGAAGACAUAAGGCGAUGCCCAGCGAGGGUUCCACCCUUGCCAGAGCAUAUGCUCAGUUAAGGCUAAGUCCACGCAGAGAGGUCACUGCAGAGCUCAUCCUGGUGAGGUGCAAAGAGAGUAAAGACAUCGAGGGUAAAGGUCAAAUUCUAGCAAAGGCAUCGGAACUCGGUGGUGUGCAAGCCUUUAAGGGAGUUCUGUGGAACUGGAAACACAUUGGACACAUUUUUUUUGAGCACAUUUGCUCCUUCUAGUUCACUAGAAACAGAAACUAAGCUUAGUUUGUUACAAAAUCAUGAAAAUCAUGAGUUUACAUGGGGCAAUAAAUUGCCCAAUGCUUAGUAAUAAAUAUUCUGAUGAAUAAAAGGGAAACAUAGCUCUAUAGCUCCCCCUUCUCCUAUCUCUUUCUCUGUGUGCAUCUGUUUCUGCCUCUCUCUGCUUUUUGUGUCUGUCUCUCUAUGUGUCUCUGUCUCUGUGCCUGUGUCUCUCUGUUUGUCUCUGUCUCUGUCUCUGUCUCUGUCUCUCUCUCUCUCUCUCUCCCAUCCCCUCUGUGUGAUGAGUGUUCUUGUCCAAAGGGAAGGCUUGCCACUUUAAAACCUGUCAUGAGUUGUUUUUGUUUUUGUUUUUGUUUUUGUUUUGUUUUGACAUCAUUUCCCAAGCUUCUACCUUUAAAGCUAAGUGAGGAUGGGUGCAAAGCUGUAUCUUGAUGUUCAUUUGAAAGGGCUGCUGUGAUGCCUUUCGGGAUUAAGGAGAGAAAUUUCAGAUGUGUAACCCUAAACUCAGCAAAGUAGAGCUGGAGAUACGGCUCAGCUGGUAAAGUAUCUCCGGUGGGAGCACGAGGACCAGAGUUCAGAUCUUCAGCAGUCAGCUAAAGGCUUGAUGGGAUGGUGCAUGCCUGGACUCCAGCAGGUGGAUCUGAAUGUGAAGCUAGCCUGGUCUACAUAGUGAGCUCUGGGCUAGCCAGGGCUACAUAGUAAGGCCCUAUCUCUAAACAAACAAACACAUAAGUGUGUAAAUAUAAGGUCACAUUCUGGGUAGUGGAAGUUAGAUUUCAGCGUGUAAAUGGGGAGGAAGCCGUGACUUAAGCUGCGACAUCACGUACCAGUUGUGGAUGAGGAACCUGAACAGAGGAACAAGCUGGGGACUGAGACACAGAGCUUCGGAGGCCUGGCAUCGUCUCAGAGUUGGCAGAAAGAGUUGGGAGGACAGAAAAUGUGGUUUACUUCUUACCUGUUUGAUCCUGUUCUGGGCUGGGAAGACAGUCAGCUGAUUGAAAAGGCAGAGAGAAGAAGGUAACAGUUGCCAUUACCAUCUGCUAGUCACACUUCAAGUUCAGACCACCAGAGAUGAGAAAGAAAACACAGCCGGCCAUGCUCAAGCCACCACACAGAGGAAGAGAGAAGGAAGUGUUUGGACCGGGCAGCACAGGGCUCUGCCAGGGGCACCGCUGAGGGAGUCACUUGGGUAAUGUGAUGCUGGCGGAGCUAUGGCCUUGUGCUUCCACAGUACACAUGGCCGACCCUGGAGCACUUCCACGAGCUGUCCUCAUAGAAGAGGACCAUUUCUUCCUGACUGAGAAACUGGAGGACUCUUACCACCUGCUCUAUUAUCUCUCCCAGCACUUACCCGGACCACAUAAAUCCUUUUUUCCCCCCUGUGUGGAUAUUUCUGUUUAGUGUUAACUUAAGUGUGGCACACAUUGGAGGUAAGGGAAAAUUAAAAUUUUAUAUGAACACAGUGUCAACACCUCAGUGGCAUCAUGCAUGAAACCCAAAGGAGAUACUUCAAAAUGUCAACCGCAGUUUGCUUUGAAUGAGUUAUUUUUAUCUUUCUUCCCGGAACCUUCCUGUUUGUUCCUCAUACCACCUAUUAUGCAGCCUAAUGAUUUCCAUGUUUACUGUUUCUGUUCAAAAGUAAUACUUGAUUAUAAGUUUCAUUUUUAUGAAUGUAAAAUUUGGGAUAUUUUUUGCAGGUAGUUUCAGGAAUUUACUCCAGGGUACUUUUAUGAAUUGCAUAUAAACUCCAUGGGCAUAUAAAUGGUCCUCGGACAUGCAGGCAGGCAAAACACCCACACCAUCAUCCCUAAGGCGUUCUUCUGCUCAGACAAUGCAGUUGUGGAAAAGAACAAACAGACAGUAGAGCCCAAUCCACUGGGUGCACUUUGAGAACAAAGGACUGUGUGCCGUUCUGCUCGGCACAGCUUGGAAGGCCACAAGUCCAGAUCUGGACCAUUACUCUCCGGGAGGAGAUACUUGUCUCAGAGUUGUGACACAUGUCAACCACAAAUCUAAGCAGCCACAAAUCUAAGUGGCGCUGGUAUGGCUACAGCUUUGGCAUAUGUGUGUGGUUAUGAGUCUACCUCCUUCUACCCCACUCCUGGCCAUAAGAUGGUGUGCUGGGAAACUUGGCAGUGCUGAGAUGGUAAAUAAAUAAAUAAAUAAUAAAAUUAAAAAUUAAAAAAAAACUACCUUUCAGAGCCGGGGCUCAGUAGAUGUUGAUUUGGUCUUAGUUGCCAGCCUUAAGAGUUAAUGUGGGGGGCUGGAGAGAUGGCUCAGCAGUUAAGAGCACUGACUGCUUAUCCAAAGGUCCUGAGUUCAAUUCCCAGCAACCACAUGGUGGCUCACAACCAUCUGUAAUAGGAUCUAAUGCCCUCUUCUGCUGUGUCUGAAGACAGCUACAGUG
Molecule: long non-coding RNA, 8309 nt
Organism: Apodemus sylvaticus (European woodmouse)
Lineage: Eukaryota; Metazoa; Chordata; Mammalia; Rodentia; Muridae
Exons: 3
Source: RefSeq, a predicted model, not a curated record